ACGGGUGAGUAAUACAUCGGAACGUGCCCUGUAGUGGGGGAUAACUAGUCGAAAGAUUAGCUAAUACCGCAUACGACCUGAGGGUGAAAGUGGGGGACCGCAAGGCCUCAUGCUAUAGGAGCGGCCGAUGUCUGAUUAGCUAGUUGGUGGGGUAAAGGCCCACCAAGGCGACGAUCAGUAGCUGGUCUGAGAGGACGAUCAGCCACACUGGGACUGAGACACGGCCCAGACUCCUACGGGAGGCAGCAGUGGGGAAUUUUGGACAAUGGGGGCAACCCUGAUCCAGCAAUGCCGCGUGUGUGAAGAAGGCCUUCGGGUUGUAAAGCACUUUUGUCCGGAAAGAAAUCGCACUUACUAAUAUUAGGUGUGGAUGACGGUACCGGAAGAAUAAGGACCGGCUAACUACGUGCCAGCAGCCGCGGUAAUACGUAGGGUCCAAGCGUUAAUCGGAAUUACUGGGCGUAAAGCGUGCGCAGCGGUUGUGCAAGACCGAUGUGAAAUCCCCGGGCUUAACCUGGGAAUUGCAUUGGUGACUGCACGGCUAGAGUGUGUCAGAGGGGGUAGAAUUUCC
Molecule: ribosomal RNA, 571 nt
Filed under: uncultured bacterium
Lineage: Bacteria
Description: bacterial SSU rRNA
Rfam family: Bacterial small subunit ribosomal RNA
Source: RNAcentral